RNAcentral lists this transfer RNA (63 nucleotides) under Madachauliodes sp. RNAcentral describes it as "tRNA-His". Lineage: Eukaryota; Metazoa; Arthropoda; Insecta; Megaloptera; Corydalidae. The record is from RNAcentral.
AUUUAAAUAGUUUAAAUAAAAUAUUGAUUUGUGGUGUCAAAGAUGUAUAAAAUACUUUAAGUU